UCCUCUGUAAGUUCAGUCGGUAGAACGGCGGACUGUUAAUCCGUAUGUCACUGGUUCGAGUCCAGUCAGAGGAGCCA
Molecule: transfer RNA, 77 nt
Filed under: Salmonella enterica subsp. enterica
Lineage: Bacteria; Pseudomonadati; Pseudomonadota; Gammaproteobacteria; Enterobacterales; Enterobacteriaceae
Description: tRNA-Asn(gtt)
Rfam family: tRNA
About the family: Transfer RNA (tRNA) molecules are approximately 80 nucleotides in length.
Source: RNAcentral